UUGGCAGCUACGCAAGUUGGAGGGAGAUGCCUGUGUGCUUCGCCGUUUAUAUUUUUUCUGCAGUUUUCUUGAAGAUCACUCCGCGACCUACACUCAGCAACGCUGUCGUUCAGCAGCAGCUGAUGCGCUGUCAGCCUCUGAUUUGUCAUUCCCAAUCGCCAUCACUCACCGCUGACAUCGAAUGGACUAAAGCUAGCCACAAAUUCUGAGCUCAAUCGUCAUGAAACGCAAAUACAGAGUUUCUCUCUCUUGGUUUCAUACAAACUUUGAGAAAUAACGAGGAGCGCAAUGUGUUUUGUCCGUGGAAGUGCUUAAAACUAACAAACGAAUACGACACAUCCUGACCAGACAUCCACAGCAUGACGGUAAACCCAAGGAGGUCUUUCAUAACAGGGCAGAAUGCUUCAGGAAAUAGUGCUUUGACAGUGGAAGAGUAAGUCAGCUAGCAAGGCAUUGUUGUCAUUUUAAAACAGAUGAUGGCAUUUGAAGGGAACAGAACUAUCCUCAAAGCUUCAUACCAGACCUUGUAUAUAAUCAUCAUGAAAGCGUUGAGUGGCGGAGCAGUGAAGGUCAACCCAGUGAGUCAGUGACCAUGCAAGAUGUGUUAUUGACUCAAUGGAGAGAGACGGUGGCGUGGCAUCCACUCCCUGGUGUGGUUGUGCAGGACCAGGAUCAGGUUGGGAUGUGCUUACCUCAGUGGUGUCCCAGAAUAGAAUGGGCAAGAUAGCUCAACUCUGAUAGAGAGAAUGGGGAACUCCCUGACAGAGUGCAGACACACCUCUUUUCCCCCCUUCCCUUCCCUCUCUCUCUUUCUCGCUCCGUCUUUCUAACAAGCUCAAAUUUUCCCCAUGAAGAAGCUCACCAUCACCAAAACCUGCUUUGGACAGCAAACCUGAUUGACUCAGUGCCGCAGGGACCAGGUGCUCAAAAUGUAGGGUUGGAUUUUUUUAAUAACGUGUAUAUUUGUGCUCGUGUGUGCAUUUGGGUGUGAUAUUGUUGUGAUAUGCUUUUUUGAGAACACAUUUAUAGUCAUUUUGUUAUUUAUUCGGUACAAUAUUCAGACUCAUAUCAAUUCAUAUAUUCAGUUAAUUUCAUAUUUUCUGACCCAUAUUUUCACAUGUAUAUUCCUAUUGUAGGCCUACCUGUGGACUGCCACUUGAAAGAAAAACAAAUACAUAUAUACAGAAGAAUUGUCAUAGUACAGAAUUUAGUAAUAAUACAAAUAAUAUGUAAAGAGAAGAACGUAAAGAGGUGGCCUCCACCCAACCAACAUGUCUCCAGUUAUUCCUAUAUUUUAUGAAAAUAGGAAUUGUCAAAAAUCUGAAUAUCUUUGUCUUGUCUUAUGCUUCAACGAAUGACCCUAUCUGUAACAGAAUAAAAACAGCUUGGAAGAUCCAAUAAAUAUAUUAGAACAUUUGAAAAACAAUGUAAUUGUCUUU
Molecule: long non-coding RNA, 1439 nt
Organism: Coregonus clupeaformis (lake whitefish)
Lineage: Eukaryota; Metazoa; Chordata; Actinopteri; Salmoniformes; Salmonidae
Exons: 3
Source: RefSeq, a predicted model, not a curated record